RNAcentral lists this non-coding RNA (48 nucleotides) under Trichobilharzia regenti. Lineage: Eukaryota; Metazoa; Platyhelminthes; Trematoda; Strigeidida; Schistosomatidae. The record is from RNAcentral.
AUCCAGCUGACGAGUCCUAAAUAUGACGAAAUGUGCAUCAAGCUGGAU